Molecule: ribosomal RNA, 243 nt
Filed under: uncultured bacterium
Lineage: Bacteria
Description: partial 16S ribosomal RNA
Rfam family: Bacterial small subunit ribosomal RNA
Source: RNAcentral
ACGAGUGGCGGACGGGUGAGUAAUGCGUAGGAAUCUACCUAAUUGUGCGGGAUAGCCUAGGGAAACUUAGGGUAAUACCGCAUAAGCCCUACGGGGGAAAGGCAGGGGACUGUUAAAGGCCUUGCGCGAUUAGAUGAGCUUACGUCGGAUUAGCUAGUUGGUGGGGUAAAGGCCUACCAAGGCGAUGAUCCGUAGCUGGUCUGAGAGGACGACCAGCCACACUGGGACUGAGACACGGCCCAG